CGGAAGAUGUAACGGGGCUAAGCAAUAUACCGAAGCUGCGGAUGCACAUUUAUGUGCAUGGUAGGAGAGCGUUCCGUAAGCCUGCGAAGGUGCAUUGAAAAGUGUGCUGGAGGUAUCGGAAGUGCGAAUGCUGACAUGAGUAGCGAUAAAGGGGGUGAAAGGCCCCCUCGCCGUAAGCCCAAGGUUUCCUACGCAACGUUCAUCGGCGUAGGGUGAGUCGGCCCCUAAGGCGAGGCAGAAAUGCGUAGCUGAUGGGAAGCAGGUUAAUAUUCCUGCACCAUUGUUAAAUGCGAUGGGGGGACGGAUCGCGGAAGGUUGUCCGGGUGUUGGAAGUCCCUGUCUCUUAUACACAUCU
This 355-nucleotide ribosomal RNA is filed under the name Escherichia coli. RNAcentral describes it as "partial 23S ribosomal RNA". It matches the Rfam family "Bacterial large subunit ribosomal RNA", at positions 1164 to 1526 of the family's 2925-position model. The record is from RNAcentral. Lineage: Bacteria; Pseudomonadati; Pseudomonadota; Gammaproteobacteria; Enterobacterales; Enterobacteriaceae.